AGCAGAGUGGGCAGGAUACCAGUCCUGCUUAAUGCUAAUCACUGGUCACAAUUCCAG
RNAcentral lists this non-coding RNA (57 nucleotides) under unclassified sequences. The record is from RNAcentral.